UAUCAAUAAGCGGAGGAAAAGAAACCAACAGGGAUUGCCUUAGUAACUGCGAGUGAAGCGGCAAAAGCUCAAAUUUGAAAUCUGGCGCCUUCGGCGUCCGAGUUGUAAUUUGGAGGGACAUCUUCGGGGCUGGCGCCGUCCUAAGUUCCUUGGAACAGGACGUCACAGAGGGUGAGAAUCCCGUGCCUGGGCGGAUGCCCAGCUCCAUGUGAAGUGUCUCCGACGAGUCGAGUUGUUUGGGAAUGCAGCUCAAAAUGGGUGGUAAAUUUCAUCUAAAGCUAAAUAUUGGCGAGAGACCGAUAGCGCACAAGUAGAGUGAUCGAAAGAUGAAAAGCACUUUGAAAAGAGAGUUAAAAAGUACGUGAAAUUGUUGAAAGGGAAGCGCUUGCGACCAGACUCGACCUUUGGCGAUCAGCCGGGCUUCGGCUCGGUGCCAUCGCCAUUGGUUGGGCCAGCAUCGGUUCUGACGGUGGGAUAAAAGGCGAAGGAAUGUGGCCUCCUUCGGGGGGUGUUAUAGCCUUCGUCACAAUGCCGCCAGUCGGGACCGAGGACCGCGCUUCGGCUAGGAUGCUGGCGUAAUGGUCUUAAGCGACCCGUCUUGAAACACGGACCAAGGAGUCUAACAUCUAUGCGAGUGUUCGGGUGGAAAACCCUUGCGCGUAAUGAAAGUGAACGGAGGUGGGAACCCCUUCGGGGUGCACCAUCGACCGGUCCUGACGUCUUCUGAAGGAUCUGAGUAAGAGCAUAGCUGUUGGGACCCGAAAGAUGGUGAACUAUGCCUGAAUAGGGUGAAGCCAGAGGAAACUCUGGUGGAGGCUCGCAGCGGUUCUGACGUGCAAAUCGAUCGUCAAAUUUGGGUAUAGGGGCGAAAGACUAAUCGAACCAUCUAGUAGCUGGUUCCUGCCGAA
RNAcentral lists this ribosomal RNA (908 nucleotides) under Anthracobia macrocystis. RNAcentral describes it as "eukaryotic LSU rRNA". It matches the Rfam family "Eukaryotic large subunit ribosomal RNA", at positions 41 to 965 of the family's 3401-position model. The record is from RNAcentral. Lineage: Eukaryota; Fungi; Ascomycota; Pezizomycetes; Pezizales; Pyronemataceae.